AUUGAACGCUGGCGGCAGGCCUAACACAUGCAAGUCGAGCGGAUGAAGGGAGUUUGCUCCUGGAUUCAGCGGCGGACGGGUGAGUAAUGCCUAGGAAUCUGCCUGGUAGUGGGGGAUAACGUCCGGAAACGGGCGCUAAUACCGCAUACGUCCUGAGGGAGAAAGUGGGGGAUCUUCGGACCUCACGCUAUCAGAUGAGCCUAGGUCGGAUUAGCUAGUUGGUGGGGUAAAGGCCUACCAAGGCGACGAUCCGUAACUGGUCUGAGAGGAUGAUCAGUCACACUGGAACUGAGACACGGUCCAGACUCCUACGGGAGGCAGCAGUGGGGAAUAUUGGACAAUGGGCGAAAGCCUGAUCCAGCCAUGCCGCGUGUGUGAAGAAGGUCUUCGGAUUGUAAAGCACUUUAAGUUGGGAGGAAGGGCAGUAAGUUAAUACCUUGCUGUGUUGACGUUACCAACAGAAUAAGCACCGGCUAACUUCGUG
This 484-nucleotide ribosomal RNA is filed under the name uncultured bacterium. RNAcentral's name for it is "partial 16S ribosomal RNA". It matches the Rfam family "Bacterial small subunit ribosomal RNA", at positions 30 to 507 of the family's 1533-position model. The record is from RNAcentral.